AUAGAUGGCGACCGGCGCACGGGUGAGUAACGUGUAUGCAACCUACCUUUAACAGGGGAAUAGCCCGAAGAAAUUCGGAUUAAUGCCCCAUAUUUUCAUAAUAUCGCAUGAUAUAGUGAAGAAAGCUCCGGCGGUUAAAGAUGGGCAUGCAUGACAUUAGUUAGUUGGUAAGGUAACGGCUUACCAAGACGAUGAUGUCUAGGGGGUCUGAGAGGAUGAUCCCCCACACUGGUACUGAGACACGGACCAGACUCCUACGGGAGGCAGCAGUGAGGAAUAUUGGGCAAUGGACGCAAGUCUGACCCAGCCAUGCCGCGUGCAGGAUGACUGCCCUAUGGGUUGUAAACUGCUUUUAUACGGGAAGAAACCCAUCAACGUGUUGAUGGCUGACGGUACCGUAAGAAUAAGCAUCGGCUAACUCCGUGCCAGCA
Molecule: ribosomal RNA, 431 nt
Filed under: uncultured bacterium
Lineage: Bacteria
Description: bacterial SSU rRNA
Rfam family: Bacterial small subunit ribosomal RNA
Source: RNAcentral